AUCCCCCCGGUCGGCCGCGCUCGUUAUUCGGGAGACGCGCUCCCAAACGGCCGCGAGGGAUGAAGCGGACGGACCGUCCGCCCGGGACUUGGCCCCGCAAAGCUCUAGGGCCGUCCCCCAGGAGUCGGCGCGGAGCGCCCCCCAGGGGUCGGCGCGGAGUGCCCCCCGUUGGUCUACGGAGCCCGCCCCCGUCCCCACACCUGCGGCCCAGGAGCAGAGGAGCAGUGACAAGCGGCCGCUGCCGGACGCCUCGGG
RNAcentral lists this long non-coding RNA (255 nucleotides) under Setaria viridis. RNAcentral describes it as "long non-coding RNA (SVIR_LNC000890)". Lineage: Eukaryota; Viridiplantae; Streptophyta; Magnoliopsida; Poales; Poaceae. The record is from RNAcentral.